This 1833-nucleotide long non-coding RNA is filed under the name Homo sapiens (human). RNAcentral's name for it is "HSALNT0392900". Lineage: Eukaryota; Metazoa; Chordata; Mammalia; Primates; Hominidae. The record is from RNAcentral.
CCGCUGCUUGCCGGGUCCCGGCCCGGCGACGCGCGCUCACACCCUCCUCCCGAGCCGCCCUCACGCCGAGCGCUGCGGACGGGGGCGCGCAACCUGCCGCCGGCCGGGACCCUGCGGCGAGUGCCGGAACCCGGCCGGGCGGGGCCUCCCGCGGCCCGGCCGCUUUAUUGGGUCACCGGCCUCGCCCACCGCCCUGCCAGCCGCAGCCAUCUCGGCGGGCGCGCCGCUCGCAGCCAGCGCCCCAUCCCCAGGCCUGCACGUACGUCGUCGGCGAUCCGGGGCCGGGGGCGGCUCCGAGGUCGUCGGGGCCGGGGUCCCACCUCCUCUUGGAGGAAGCGCCGCCUCCCCACCCGCCCGGGGCCCUCGCCAAGUGGCUGCUAACAAAGCCCAGGGCCCGGCUGCGGGAUGGUUGACUGACAAAGUCAUGCCUGCCUAGCCAGCUUCCUCGUGCAGCACGGUGAAGGCUGGGGCGCCGGGUUUUUACUCCCACGUCCUGCCAACUCGAGCUGACAAGGCGGGCAAUCCACCAGCGGGAGCGUUGGCAGGCCCGGGGUCAGAUCCUGAUUCAGCCAGUUAAUUGGUAGGAGUGGGGCCCAUUUGUAGAAUGAAGGUGAUAACUGCCUCGUGGGGUUAUUGGCAUUAAAUGAAGAAUGUAGGGAACCUAGCAUGGUUCUUGAUGUCUAGGAGGUGCUCGGUGAAGGGUGCCUAUGAUUCGCUUUGUCUUCUAAAUACUUUUGGCAGCACUUGAGGUGUUAAAGUCUGUAUCCCAGACUUUAUUAGUCUUGUUGUUUUACGUGACUUAAGCGAUUAGCUCAAACGCCCAAGUACAAAAUGGGGCUAAACCCAGGUUUUCCGACACGAUUCUACCUCCAUGGCUCUAUCUCCAGCUCCACCCAAGGCCUCCAAAAUGGUGUUCUCCUAAAGUGACCAACAAAACACCAAGCUGUGUCAUGGUGCCACUUUGGCGAUGUGGUCUCUUAGGAGAGGGAAUUCUAAGUAGUUAAUUAGCUUGUUCCUUUCUACGUUGUAGUCUUGACCAAGGACAAUGUGUUGGCAUUUAAUGCCACUGAAGAUUUAAGAGACUAAGGAAUCAGAUCCUCUGAGAUUCCUAAAUCUGUGUAAUAAAAUGGGUUCUACACAUAGCUAUUCCAAAAAAUUCAGUCAGAUAUUACUAACAAGAUAGACAGAUUAUAAUCUGUAUGAAAUUUCUAGGAGUAAUAAAAAUCAGAAUAGACCCCGUAACCCCGAGUAUGUGUCUAAUUUUCUCAACUAUAAAAUAAUUAAAACUAAAGGCCUUUCUCUUCCUCCCUUGGUGAAUGCCCUUAUGUGAAUUCAGCUGACACACUCAGAAUGACAAAGGAGUUAGAAAUUCACAUCAACAGCAAUUGGUCCCAACUGACUCAAACCAUGAGACUUCUGCCCUGCUAAGAUACCUUGAGCUGAACACUGCCCCGAGAAUGCAACAGAACUUCAGCUCUGUCCCAAGGUCGUCAGCCACAGCUCCAAGUUUCUUAGCAUCAGCUUUUUCUGAACAAAAUAGUGCAUCCUGCUGGAAUCACUACUGUAAACUGAGUAUAAAGGAAAAUAAACCCUCUUUUUCUUAUCCACUAUGUUCCCUACUCCCGUGCUUUUCCCAGUGCUCCAGGUUAGUAGAGGCAAAAGAAUUCCCCACUGAUGAGGUACUACAUCCUACACAAUUUGUUCCACACAUUUUAAUUUCAUUAAGAGAAAACAAAGAUGUUUAAACAGUGAGCACUAAAUGGAUUAGAGUGGCAGUAGUAAAUUUCCUUUGUGCCUUUCUCUUAGAAUUUAGAAAGCUUUAGUUGCAAUCCC